Cydia fagiglandana is the source of this 2402-nucleotide long non-coding RNA. RefSeq lists it as uncharacterized. The transcript has 2 exons. The record is from RefSeq and is a predicted model, not a curated record. Lineage: Eukaryota; Metazoa; Arthropoda; Insecta; Lepidoptera; Tortricidae.
AACGCGAGUUAUUUCGUAGCCGAUAUCAUAGAUUAGUAUAUGUUAUUAACUGUAAGUCGACAUCUAACGUCAAGUAAUGGAACUAUCAGGGGGCCUAGCCAAAACGCAUUUCGAAAAAAGAUAUCGCUAACGAAUCGAUAAAAAAUGUAUGGGAAUGACAGGUACCGUAGAUGAGUUUGUCGAAAAAUAUUAACGAAUACAAAAAUGUUAGCCAAGUUGCAAUGUUGUAACGAAACGCAAAACUUUCGUUACUGGAAUUCGAUAUCUGUCAUACAUUGCCUAGCCGAGUGACACUUUUGACAUGCGAAAUCGAAUCGUUAUCGCCUCCUAGGUGUCGAUACGUAGCGAGAGCUAUCCCCUUGCAGAUAACUUAUCGAAGCACAAGAAAAUGCCGUAUAAUAGUGUUUGUAAAUUAGAAUUUGUAGUAAAAAGCAUACUUUAACAUUAUUGUGGGCGGCGAACAACGCGGAAGUCUCGCUUAGACGCAGGCGCCGUCUGAAAAAUCGCCUAUUGGAACUGCUUAGGAAAGGACUGCCCUUAGCUGGUGGCUGGUGGCUUUAUGCUACGGGGUCAGAUCAAAGGAUAGUGGGCCGUACGCAGCAUUUCACCCAAAGGAUCCAAUGUGACCGAGGCGCUGAAUAUCUACCUAUCUAUAUUGACAGUGUCAUGGAAAAAUGGAUUAUGCACCCACAAAUGCAACACGAAACAACGUCCCUGCAAAGGUAAGAGUGAGCCAAUAACUUAUCCCCACAUACCUAAUAAGUAUAUAAAAUAUGUAAUUGAUGCUAAAAUAACUUCUUAUGUGUUCCUGUUACGUCUUCAAAUAUAAACCGAUGAAUGGUGUAGAUUAAAUUUGGUACCCAUAUGCACACAGGCAAGCACUUGUUUCUCAAUAGGAAAGUGAAUUGAUUGUGUAAAGGCAAAGGUAUAUAGGUAAAGGCUUUACAAAUAUAGAUAAAGACUCGGGAACAAAUGUUCUUCACACAAAUAAAUGCCCUUCCCGGGAAGCAAAACCAUAACCUUCAUAGGCAAGGUCACUAACGACUAGCAAUAUUGUAGUGUCAUCCCAUUUUCUUAAAUUGAUUUGAAAGAGACGAGACUACAGUGUUGCUACUUUUUGAUUUCUACAAUUUCUUGUCGAACUGUACAGUAAGCUCAAGAAGACUUGUGUUGUGGGUACUUAGGGUACUUAGAUAACUAUAUAUAGAUGGUCAAACCAAUUUGUCACUCAGUAAGAACCAGGAAAACUAUACUCAUACUUUUGGGUGCUAGUACUAGUAUAUGACAAAGCUAGUAUGAUUCUCUCUGUCUUUGUUUGAAAUGAGACAGUCCUUUGACAAACUAUACUUAAAUACAUAGACAACACCCAUGACUCAGGUACAAAAUAUCUGUGCUCAUUACACAAACAAAUUUCCUUACCGGGGAUUCAAACUCAGGAUUAAUAUCAGAUUAACCGGCAGGGUCACUAGUCACUACCCACUAGGCCAGACCGGCUGUUGUUAUGCAUAUAAAUUAUCAACCAUAUUAAUGAAACUUUUCAUAUUAUGAAACAUAUUGUAUAUGACUUCUUUUGGCAGGCGCAGGUACAGUCAGCUGCAGAGAAAUGGUACCACUCCUGCAUACAAACUUCUAUGUAGCGGUGGUACCUUUUCUCUGCAGCUGACUGUACCUACACACUAUAUAAAAAUAUAUGUACUUACACAAAACAUUUAGUUUUUUUUUGUCAUAUGACUGGUAGAGAAUAGAUAAAUAUUAUAACCAAAUGUUACAGAGUUUUUUGAAAAACUAAGCAUUCAUUUUGUUUCAGGUGACUUGGAUAUUCAUUGCAGCCUUGACAUAUUUAUGGUGCUCCAAAGCCAGGGUCAAGGGAAGAAACUAUGACACAUGUACAACCACAAAAAUAUAUUGAGUGUUGUUUUACUAUUUUAAAACACUACAUAAUAUAUGUGCAAACAAGAAAAGAAUGCUUGGCUACUGAUUUUAUGCUGCCGGCAAAAAAUACCUGCUGUAUCUUUCAUUAAUAGAUUUCCAAUAAAAUAAAUUAACUUUUAACCCAAUCAUUGUUUCAUUCAUUUAUUUAUGGUGGUUACCACCUUAACCUUUGGUAUGCUUAGGAGCAGAUCUGCUCCCAUGUACUUACCUAUAUUCAACUUUAAAAAAUGCAUUAAUUUUGACGACCGGUCUGACCUAGUGGGUAGUGACCCUGCCUGCUAAGCCGAUGGUCCUAGGUUCGAAUCCCAGUAAGGGCAUUUAUUUGUGUGGUGAACACUAAUAUUUGUUCCUGAGUCAUGGGUGUUUUCUAUGUAUAUAAGUAUGUAUUUAUCUAUAUAAGUAUGUGUCGUUGCCUAGCACCCAUAGUACAAGCUUUGCUUAGUUUGGGGCUAGGUUGAUCUGUGUAAGAU